UGGGGAAUAUUGGACAAUGGGCGAAAGCCUGAUCCAGCCAUGCCGCGUGUGUGAAGAAGGUCUUCGGAUUGUAAAGCACUUUAAGUUGGGAGGAAGGGCAUUAACCUAAUACGUUAGUGUUUUGACGUACCGACAGAAUAAGCACCGGCUAACUCUGUGCCAGCAGCCGCGGUAAUACAGAGGGUGCAAGCGUUAAUCGGAAUUACUGGGCGUAAAGCGCGCGUAGGUGGUUUGUUAAGUUGGAUGUGAAAGCCCCGGGCUCAACCUGGGAACUGCAUCCAAAACUGGCAAGCUAGAGUACGGUAGAGGGUGGUGGAAUUUCCUGUGUAGCGGUGAAAUGCGUAGAUAUAGGAAGGAACACCAGUGGCGAAGGCGACCACCUGGACUGAUACUGACACUGAGGUGCGAAAGCGUGGGGAGCAAACA
This 426-nucleotide ribosomal RNA is filed under the name uncultured bacterium. Its description in RNAcentral is "partial 16S ribosomal RNA". It matches the Rfam family "Bacterial small subunit ribosomal RNA", at positions 355 to 774 of the family's 1533-position model. The record is from RNAcentral.